CGGUAAUACGUAGGGCGCAAGCGUUGUCCGGAUUCACUGGGUGUAAAGGGUGCGCAGGCGGGAAUGCAAGUCAUCAACGAAUCUUACGGCUUAACCGUGAAACUGCCUUUGAUACUGCAUUUCUUGAGUCAGGGAGAGGUUGAUGGAAUUCCAGGUGUAGCGGUGAAAUGCGUAGAUGCCUGGAAGAAAACCGGUGGUCGAGGCGGUCAACUGGCCCUGAACUGACGCUCAGGCACGAAAGCGUGGGGAUCAAACUGGAUUAGAUACCCUGGUAGUCCACGUUCUAAACGAUGAAUACGGUUUGUUGGUGCAUAUGGGUCAGUGCCGAAGGAAACCUGAUAAGUAUUCCACCUGGGGAGUACGCUCGCAAGGGUGAA
This 377-nucleotide ribosomal RNA is filed under the name uncultured bacterium. RNAcentral describes it as "bacterial SSU rRNA". It matches the Rfam family "Bacterial small subunit ribosomal RNA", at positions 518 to 898 of the family's 1533-position model. The record is from RNAcentral.